Molecule: ribosomal RNA, 598 nt
Filed under: Aspergillus niger
Lineage: Eukaryota; Fungi; Ascomycota; Eurotiomycetes; Eurotiales; Aspergillaceae
Description: eukaryotic LSU rRNA
Rfam family: 5.8S ribosomal RNA (bases 217-370)
Source: RNAcentral
UCCGUAGGUGAACCUGCGGAAGGAUCAUUACCGAGUGCGGGUCCUUUGGGCCCAACCUCCCAUCCGUGUCUAUUGUACCCUGUUGCUUCGGCGGGCCCGCCGCUUGUCGGCCGCCGGGGGGGCGCCUCUGCCCCCCGGGCCCGUGCCCGCCGGAGACCCCAACACGAACACUGUCUGAAAGCGUGCAGUCUGAGUUGAUUGAAUGCAAUCAGUUAAAACUUUCAACAAUGGAUCUCUUGGUUCCGGCAUCGAUGAAGAACGCAGCGAAAUGCAAUAACUAAUGUGAAUUGCAGAAUUCAGUGAAUCAUCGAGUCUUUGAACGCACAUUGCGCCCCCUGGUAUUCCGGGGGGCAUGCCUGUCCGAGCGUCAUUGCUGCCCUCAAGCCCGGCUUGUGUGUUGGGUCGCCGUCCCCCUCUCCGGGGGGACGGGCCCGAAAGGCAGCGGCGGCACCGCGUCCGAUCCUCGAGCGUAUGGGGCUUUGUCACAUGCUCUGUAGGAUUGGCCGGCGCCUGCCGACGUUUUCCAACCAUUCUUUCCAGGUUGACCUCGGAUCAGGUAGGGAUACCCGCUGAACUUAAGCAUAUCAAUAAGCGGAGG